GCGAGCCAGGCGGCAGCUCUCAGGCUUCCUAACCUGUGUGAGUUCCUGCCUUCACUUCCCUCGGUGAUAGACGGGCGCUAAGCCUUUCUUCCAAGUUGUUUGUUUGUUUUGGUUGUGGUGUCUUAUCAAGACAGAAAUCGACCUGGAAAGAACGGGACCCUGAGGUUGAGCCAGCAUCAUGGGCAUGCUUAGCAAGCGCCGUGUCGCCCAGUGACAUCAGCAACCUCAGAACCCCGAAGCUUGAGGUUGAGACAUCUCGAAGGGUUAAAGUUCAAGUGAGUCGCUGGGGUAGGGGGGACAACUGCCUGCCGUUGUAGGCCAGAUGUGGAAAUAGGGCGUCCACUUGCGAGGUGGACCCCAGGGAGCCCCUCGAUGGCCGAUGGCUUGCCCUUUGGGGUCAGGAUAACCGUUCUCUUCUGCACAAAAACUUAACAGAAUAAACUGGGUACGGUGUGAUUCCUCCAUUAGGGACACAGCAGGAGAAGCGGAGCUUGGGGUCAUUUUCAGAGUUUGAGACCAGCCUGUACUACAGAGACUUCGUCUCCCAAAGCAAACAAAACCACCUGAGGCUGGUACCUCGACGGGCACUUGCCUCCAGACCCACGACAACAGCGCGUUUCCCACUAGAUCUUAGAGUGUGGCAGGAGUGGCUGAAGGCAAUUGCCGAGGGGCCAGGAGAAUCCGAACUGUGCUAAGAGAUACCAGUCGCAACCCCGGGCGUGACGUGGCUUCUGAAUUCUGUGUGAGCCUUCUCUUUCUGUAGCAAAAGCUGAGACAAUCGGCGUAGAAGCAGGACAGCUGAGGAUGCCCUCAGGGCUCAGAACCUAUUCCAGUCUACCGACUCUCCGCGCUCAGCUCCUAACCCAGCGGCCAGGGUUAAAGACCUGCUCCUCAGAACGGUGCCAUGAACUCACCGCUUGCCACUUGGGAGGACCUGGGAACACAGGCCAGGGCUGUGGUCUUCUUCCUUCGUGCUCAGCACUCUGCACGGUGACAUGGACCUGGAAAUGGAUGACACAUCAUCAAAGUUUCAGAUGUCAGGAAACUGGGACAGUCAAAGUGCUGGACGACAGAAUCACAACCCCAAAAUAACUUAGGAGCCUGGGAUGGGGGGAGCGAAGACAAAGAAUAAUGGGGAGCUUUGCUGGCCCCUCUGCUUGACUCCGCCUCCGUGUUCAGGCGAGUGGUGUGUGCUUGAACAGCCUCAGUGCAUGGGAGGAGAUGGCACGGGUUUGCCUCUCUUUCUUGCUGUUUAGAUGGUCUGAUUUGAUUUUUUUUUUUCCAUGAGUGUUUUGCCUGGGCAUCUGUAUUUGUAACGUGUGUGCCAAAUGCCCUUGGCGGUCAGAAGAGGCCGUGGGAUCCCUGGAACUGGAAGGAAUUACAGAUGGUUGUGAGCCGCCCUGUGCAUGCUGUGAGCCGAACUGGACUCCUCCGAAAGAAGCGGGGAGCAUUCCUCACCACUGAGCCAUCUCUCCAGACCCAUAGCUCAUGGAUUCAUUUAGAUGAAGCUGUGUGAUAGGCUGUAGACCAGCUCUUCGCAAGGCGGAAGCCUCCUCUCCGCUUCCGUUUCUGACUUUGACUGUGGGUUGGAUCUCUGCUCGUCAUUCACGGGGCAACUGAGUCACACAGGAAAGUGUUUUAGAGUCAGCUCUCACAGCACCCUGUUCUGCACCCAGGGGUCUGCAAGGUCACCCUGUGAUGAGAUCAUCCUCCAACUGGGUGGAAACCGAGGCUGCCCCUCUCCUUCGUGGACGUCUUCUCAGAGAAGUUCCUCUUUGGAGUCACCUUGUUGGAGACACAGGAUUUCUUCCCCUGCCUGGGUCUCCCUCUGUUAGAGUCUGAGGUCCCAGACCCAGAAAAUGGGCUGUUCGAUCUUCCUCUUCCUAAACUGGCCACUUUGAUUAAAGCAAUGUCCUGUCCUUCA
Long non-coding RNA from Meriones unguiculatus (Mongolian gerbil), 1924 nucleotides. RefSeq lists it as uncharacterized. The transcript is spliced from 2 exons. NCBI's taxonomy places the organism in Eukaryota, Metazoa, Chordata, Mammalia, Rodentia, Muridae. The record is from RefSeq and is a predicted model, not a curated record.